GUGCAGGAAGUCUUUGUAUCUCCAUUAAGGAUCAGAAGAACUUUUAACAAGAGCAAAUCUAAAAUGCAGAUUGUCGUUAGCUUAACUUGGCUGUAAAUAUUUUGCUCUAACUGACCAAUCAGAGGACAGAAAAUGCUAACAAAUGUGUGGGCCCUCUAGCUGCCCCCAAAUCGGAAAUAUUAUUGGUUGAAGAAAAUGCUCCUCACUAAUAUUGUUAGCUAACAUCAGCCAGUACUGCUGAUUCUGAAGGUCCUGGGCAGAUUUGAUUUACAUAGCAAUGCACUAAGGCUGAAAUCCGAUUGGACAAAAAAUAUAGAGACCACAUAAAUGUAAAAGAAGCAGCUCAGUAAUCAAGAGAAACGUUACAAAAUUAAGAGAAUUAAUUGUUUUUUGAAUAAAUUGAUAGAGCUGGAAAGAAGAAAAUUAAAGUUUAGAAGGCUUUGAAGGCCCUCGCAGCCCACCACUGGUCGUUACUAUGCAGUUGUUUAUCUCUUCUGUAAUGGCAGUGCACUGUCAUGAGGUGGGAUAUCCAGAAUGUAUGAGGACAUGCAAUGCUAUCUAUUUUUAUUUUCUUUUGAAUAAAUACUGGACUUUUCAGAUUGUUUUUAACACUUGUUUACACUAAAAAAAUAAGCAUUUUUUAAAAGUGUAGAUCUCUGAUUCGUAGAAAGACAGUUAGCAGGCAAGCAGUCAACUUCACAGCAUUAAAGCAGGAUAGUCAAAAAACAAAGAGAAAACACUGACAUACACAUCCAAGAAAUGUCUCAAGCUCCAAUGGAUAUCAGUAAUGUGGAACAAUUUUGUGAAGUUCAGCAGCAUGUGGAAAACAGAGACCUGGAACAGCUGAAUAUCUCUGAGGAAUCAGUACAUCGCUGUGACCACUGUGGAAAAGGUUUUAAGAGAUUUCAUAAUUUGAAAAGACACCUGCUUAUCCACACCGGCGAAAAGCCUUUCGUCUGCCAUCAGUGUGGGAAGCAGUUCCGCCAGAAAGGACAUUUGAAUUACCAUCUCGCCAUUCACACCGGCGAAAAGCCUUUCCUCUGCCAUCUGUGUGGGAAGCAAUUUUGCACGAAAGAACAUCUGAAUUACCAUCUACUCAUUCACACCGGCGAAAAGCCUUUCGCCUGCCAUCAGUGUGGAAAGCAAUUCCGCCAGAAAGGAGAUUUGAAUUGCCAUCUACCCAUUCACACCGGCGAAAAGCCUUUCGUCUGCCAUCAGUGUGGGAAAAGCUUUGGUCAUAGAUCUUCUCUGAAAAGUCAUCUACAUAUCCACACCAGAGUCCCCACAUGUGCAGGAGGUGUGGAAAAAGCUUCAGACCAUUGAAAUCUGUGCAACAUCAUCUGGAAAUUGACACAAGAGAAGAAAAACCUACCAUAGUGGAGGCUUCACUUCCUGUUAUGCUUUUCCUUAUCUGAGACCAAAGCUUAAUUUUAAUCUUUAAUAAAAUUCACUUGCAUUCAA
This is an RNA transcript of Cyprinodon tularosa, 1461 nucleotides long. It is a transcript of the gene named gastrula zinc finger protein XlCGF9.1-like, with no coding region annotated. The transcript has 4 exons. The record is from RefSeq and is a predicted model, not a curated record. NCBI's taxonomy places the organism in Eukaryota, Metazoa, Chordata, Actinopteri, Cyprinodontiformes, Cyprinodontidae.